Molecule: unclassified non-coding RNA, 383 nt
Filed under: soil metagenome
Description: partial contains 5.8S ribosomal RNA, internal transcribed spacer 2, and large subunit ribosomal RNA
Rfam family: 5.8S ribosomal RNA (bases 1-120)
Source: RNAcentral
GAUGAAGAACGCAGCGAAAUGCGAUAAGUAAUGUGAAUUGCAGAAUUCAGAGAAUCAUCGAAUCUUUGAACGCACCUUGCGCUCCUUGGUAUUCCGAGGAGCAUGCCUGUUUGAGUGUCAUGAAAUUCUCAACCUUUCUGGCUUUUGCUAGUCAGGCUUGGAUUAUGGGAGCUGCUGGCUUUUGAAGUCGGCUCUUCUAAAAUGUAUUAGCAAGAUCAUUGCUGCUCAUCAUUGGUAUGAUAAUUAUCUAUAUCAUUGAGAGUCAGUUUCCUUUAUUGGAAGAUUUUGCUCCUAACGGUCUUUAGCAAGACAACAUUUGACGAUUUUGACCUCAAAUCAGGUAGGACUACCCGCUGAACUUAAGCAUAUCAAUAAGCGGAGGA